This 1003-nucleotide ribosomal RNA is filed under the name Pediococcus pentosaceus. RNAcentral describes it as "bacterial SSU rRNA". It matches the Rfam family "Bacterial small subunit ribosomal RNA", at positions 69 to 1057 of the family's 1533-position model. The record is from RNAcentral. Lineage: Bacteria; Bacillati; Bacillota; Bacilli; Lactobacillales; Lactobacillaceae.
CUGUACUGAUGAGAUUUAACACGAAGUGAGUGCGAACGGGUGAGUAACACGUGGGUAACCUGCCCAGAAGUAGGGGAUAACACCUGGAAACAGAUGCUAAUACCGUAUAAUAGAGAAAACCGCAUGGUUUUCUUUUAAAAGAUGGCUCUGCUAUCACUUCUGGAUGGACCCGCGGCGUAUUAGCUAGUUGGUGAGGUAAAGGCUCACCAAGGCAGUGAUACGUAGCCGACCUGAGAGGGUAAUCGGCCACAUUGGGACUGAGACACGGCCCAGACUCCUACGGGAGGCAGCAGUAGGGAAUCUUCCACAAUGGACGCAAGUCUGAUGGAGCAACGCCGCGUGAGUGAAGAAGGGUUUCGGCUCGUAAAGCUCUGUUGUUAAAGAAGAACGUGGGUAAGAGUAACUGUUUACCCAGUGACGGUAUUUAACCAGAAAGCCACGGCUAACUACGUGCCAGCAGCCGCGGUAAUACGUAGGUGGCAAGCGUUAUCCGGAUUUAUUGGGCGUAAAGCGAGCGCAGGCGGUCUUUUAAGUCUAAUGUGAAAGCCUUCGGCUCAACCGAAGAAGUGCAUUGGAAACUGGGAGACUUGAGUGCAGAAGAGGACAGUGGAACUCCAUGUGUAGCGGUGAAAUGCGUAGAUAUAUGGAAGAACACCAGUGGCGAAGGCGGCUGUCUGGUCUGCAACUGACGCUGAGGCUCGAAAGCAUGGGUAGCGAACAGGAUUAGAUACCCUGGUAGUCCAUGCCGUAAACGAUGAUUACUAAGUGUUGGAGGGUUUCCGCCCUUCAGUGCUGCAGCUAACGCAUUAAGUAAUCCGCCUGGGGAGUACGACCGCAAGGUUGAAACUCAAAAGAAUUGACGGGGGCCCGCACAAGCGGUGGAGCAUGUGGUUUAAUUCGAAGCUACGCGAAGAACCUUACCAGGUCUUGACAUCUUCUGACAGUCUAAGAGAUUAGAGGUUCCCUUCGGGGACAGAAUGACAGGUGGUGCAUGGUGUCGUCA